Xiphophorus couchianus (Monterrey platyfish) is the source of this 1089-nucleotide long non-coding RNA. RefSeq lists it as uncharacterized. The transcript has 4 exons. Lineage: Eukaryota; Metazoa; Chordata; Actinopteri; Cyprinodontiformes; Poeciliidae. The record is from RefSeq and is a predicted model, not a curated record.
CUUCAAUCACCACACGGGGGAGCUGCAGUAUUGGCAGCCCUUCCGUGUGCAAUGCACACAAAUGCUAGGGAAGGAGGCAACGGGCAGGCCAGUGGUAUGCAGUGACAGAGUCCAGACAACAUGAAAGAAUAGAGUAACCCCCCAGGAGAGUUGGGACAUUAACAUCUGGACUGGAGGGGUGUGAUGUUUGCUUCAGAACAAACCUCUGCUCACCAUGAAACAAGUGAUUGUGUUUGCUGACUGCCUGCCGAAACGCAUCACUGGCAAGAGGAAAGCUAGACACGUUCUCACUUCAUCCGAAAGAACAAAGCCCCUCAGUGCUUUUCCUCCUUUUAACAGAUUUUUUCAGCCCUCCGGCUCAACAAACUACCAAAGGAUCUUCUGUCAGACACAAAUGAAUCCAUUGGAAGAAAUAUCUUGUUAACUUGCAAUAAUCCUGAAGUCAGUCUACUGCAAAAAUAAAGGAAUGCAAAUACAAGCUUAAACCACAUUAGAGAAUAAAAACAUGAAAAUAACAUACAGCUCGUUUAAACAUAUGUAUAUAUUAAAUCUAUACAUAGCCAUGAUUUAUUUUCAACUGUCAAACCAAGCAAAUGCCCUUUGCUCAAUUGUAGACAAAAGAUAUGUAAAUAAGUAAAUAAUUACUCAAAUACUCUAGGACUAACUAUACAGAUAAAGUUUGCCAAGAUCUAUCUUUUUCAGUCAGAUGAGAUGGCAAUUAGAUGGUUUUAGCUUUAUUUCUUUUUUCAAAAACAGUUUAGCAUUUAACACGGGAUUAUAUUGACAAGCAUAUCAUGUCCGCUGUUAAGUGAAGUGGAGAAACAUUGAUGCUGUGAGUCUGUUUCUGGAAAUCUAGAAUUUUUGGAUUAUUAUCUCUGAAAUACCGGAGUAUUUUAGUGGAACAUUUGCGAAGUUUUGCCAAAAAUCUGAAAACAGUCCAUAAUUGGUUUUGUAGCAGAAUAAAAUGCAAGUCCAAAUCCAAAAUGUAGCGCCAAAUCGACACAUAAAUGUUUCAGCAGACACCAAAUCAACCUCUUUUCAUAGCUUUAGUGACCAGACAAAUAAAACAAAAAUCCAUUUACAUGGAUC